AGGAUUGUCAUAAAAAACAUACUCUGGAUUAUAUAUAUAAAAAAGAAUGGGUUAUGUUGAGCUUGGCUGUCAGAAGAUGCAUCUGCUGACACUUAUAUUGCUCUUAUCCUUCAGGUUACUAUCGUGCUCAAGAUGUUUAGGCAAAAAUUGAUGUACCGGCACUACUAAUUCCUGUGCUUGAAGAAACAUUUUCCGAUUUCAGGUUCUAGAGGGCUCCUGGGCUUGCCACUACGUACUGCAGAUGCAUACUAUGCAUGGCAAAUGAUGAUCAAGCCUUGUCCACAUGCCAACAGGUUCCCCUUUUUACUGCUCUAAUCUGAUUGAGUUAAUAUUACUUGCCAUGGUCAGAGUUAAUGUUAAUUGCCGUGGUUUGGUCAAGGUAUCAAUUGUUAUGUAAUUCGAACUAGACAACUAUGUCAUCACUUCUGAACGUAGAAAUGCCAAUGAUCAAGGCCAUGUCAAUGGUUUAGUGUAUUGGUUGCUUCUUCUUGAAUAUUUGUCCAAUUAUAAACAUUUUAGUUGAGUUUCAGAAGUUCAAAAACAUAAAA
Molecule: long non-coding RNA, 548 nt
Organism: Panicum virgatum (switchgrass)
Lineage: Eukaryota; Viridiplantae; Streptophyta; Magnoliopsida; Poales; Poaceae
Exons: 2
Source: RefSeq, a predicted model, not a curated record